GCGACCGGCGCACGGGUGAGUAACGCGUAUGCAACUUACCUAUCAGAGGGGGAUAACCCGGCGAAAGUCGGACUAAUACCGCAUGAAGCAGGGGCCCCGCAUGGGGACAUUUGCUAAAGAUUCAUCGCUGAUAGAUAGGCAUGCGUUCCAUUAGGCAGUUGGCGGGGUAACGGCCCACCAAACCGACGAUGGAUAGGGGUUCUGAGAGGAAGGUCCCCCACAUUGGUACUGAGACACGGACCAAACUCCUACGGGAGGCAGCAGUGAGGAAUAUUGGUCAAUGGGCGUAAGCCUGAACCAGCCAAGUCGCGUGAGGGAUGAGGGUUCUAUGGAUCGUAAACCUCUUUUAUAAGGGAAUAAAGUGCGGGACGUGUCCCGUUUUGUAUGUACCUUAUGAAUAAGGAUCGGCUAACUCCGUGCCAGCAGCCGCGGUAAUACGGAGGAUCCGAGCGUUAUCCGGAUUUAUUGGGUUUAAAGGGUGCGUAGGCGGCCUUUUAAGUCAGCGGUGAAAGUCUGUGGCUCAACCAUAGAAUUGCCGUUGAAACUGGGGGGCUUGAGUAUGUUUGAGGCAGGCGGAAUGCGUGGUGUAGCGGUGAAAUGCUUAGAUAUCACGCAGAACCCCGAUUGCGAAGGCAGCC
Molecule: ribosomal RNA, 638 nt
Filed under: uncultured bacterium
Lineage: Bacteria
Description: bacterial SSU rRNA
Rfam family: Bacterial small subunit ribosomal RNA
Source: RNAcentral